CGUUUCGAAGUCACUCAGAGACCGACUUCCGGGUUCUUUCGUCCCGCCCCUCCGUUUAGAAGUCACUCAGAGACCGACUUCCGGAUUCUUUUGUCCCGCCCCCCGUUUAGAAGUCACUCAGAGACCGACUUCCGGGUUUUUUUCUCCGCCCCGCGAUUUGCCCACAGACGGGUAAUAAUCAUAAUCAUAAUCAUAAUUAUUAUUGUUGUUGUUGUUGUUUUGCAAGGCCGGGCUCAGGGCGGCUAACAAGCAAGUUGGAAUGAAUACAAUUUAAAAACAAAAUUAAAAUACAACAUUAAAAUAUUGAAACAUUAAAAUAUUAAAAAGGGUAAAGCUUGUUAUCAGCCUAGCCGCUUGGAUGGUUUUCCGAUUUCAAUAUAACUUCUUAUAUUUAUCUACAGUAUAGCUGUCAACUUACAGAUUUGAAAACAAGGGACCAGCAGCCUCGAAAAUAAGGGAUCAGCAGCCAAAAUAAGGGAUUUUGCUUAACUUAUACAUAAAUCCGCCACUGAUGGAGCCAGGCUGCUUUGGCUGCCCCUGACUGUGUUUUGCAGGGGUUUGAACCAGAUGAUCCUAAGGGUCUACAACUCCCACCAAAGAAGAGUGGCAGACAAAACUGAUGAACGACGUCAAGAUGGCAAAGCUUACAGGCAGAAUUAGAAACCAGGAAGAGGACCUCUUUAAUCAAGAAUGGGGAAAGUUUAUAAUUUAUUGGAAAAGCUAUUGUAAAGAUUGGUAGGAUUGACAGAAAACUUGUAGUAAAAAUUUCAACUAUGGAUGGACAAAUGAUUUAUAAAAAUAGAGUUAGGAAAGGGAUGCAGAGGGGGAAAUCACUACAUUAAGAUGCUGCACUGGCUGGAGGGGAUGCUAAGCAGCACGUUGCGGCUGCCGUUGUCCUGGAGCGAGGAGAUCCAUCGGCCCUUCCCCGCCCGAGAGAGAGGGAGGAAGGGAGACUCUUGCCCACGCUGCCAGUGAGCCCGGCAUGAGGCGGUUGUGGCGCCACGGCGGCCACUGAAGUGCCGCCCCUCUGCGUCCCGAGCCGGGCGAGCAUGAAACCCGGGAAAUUUAAGGGACAUCAUCAGUCCGGGACAGCAGCGGGAAACGGCGCUGGGAUAAGGGAGUUUCCUGCCAAAUAAGGGACGGUUGACAGCUAUGAUCUACAGUGGCACCUUUGGUAAAUCUUUCGUAAUAUGGGGCCCUGUACGAAACCAAAUAGGUCUUCUCAAUUAUGAAUCUUCUUAAUUUUAUGCCCCCUUGACUCUGCGUCCUGUGCAGAGGAGCCACUCACAUCGCCCUAAAUCUGGCGCUACUGCAAUGCAGGAAUCUCACCCAGAUCAUCCAUGACAAGUGGUCGCCCAACCUGCUUAAAAACCUCCAAGGAAGAAGAGUCGGAACAGCUCUUACCGUCAGAAAAUUCUUCCAGAUGUUUAGUCGGAAUCUGCUUUCCACUAACUUAAAACCAUUGGUUUGGGUCCUCCCCUCCAGAGCAGGAGAAAACAAGCUUGCUUCAUCUUCCAUGUGGCCAUUAGCUAUUUGAAGGUGGCAAUAUGCAAACAGCUGAAUCUUUCAGCUUCAUGUGCCUCUCCCACCCUGUGUCAUGGACACAGACCUCCUUCUGAGCUGACGCCGCAGGAGUUUUAGGGGCCUCUUCUCCCCUACCUCCAACCUUACCUUGUUUCGGGUCCAUAGCUAUGAGGUCUUACUGCUUCAGAGCCCCUGACAGAAUGGGGCCCAGGAACGCCUCAGGGAGCCCAUGGCACCACUCCCAUAACAAAAACUACCAUAGAGAUCUGAAAAUUUUCAGAAGUAGGCAGUCUAUGGCUUGGCUUUUGAAAGAGGGGGUCCGCAGUACUUAGCUAAUCGGAAACCACUGCUCCAGCACAAGGAUUAACUCUAGUGUAACAGAAUUUCAUCCUUCUCCUCCCAUGCUGUCCCCAAAUCUGCUCUGGGGGUUGGGGGAAAGUCCAAAACAGAUUUAGGAGAAUGUAGGGUUCAAAUCCCCAUGACGGGGUGAGCUCCCCUUGCUCAGUCCCAGCUCCUGCCCACCUAGCAGUUCGAAAGCACGUCAAAGUUCAAGUAGAUAAAUAGGUACCACUCCGGCGGGAAGGUAAACGGCGCUUCCAUGCGCUGCUCUGGUUCGCCAGAAGCGGCUUAGUCAUGCUGGCCACAUGACCUGGAAGCUGUACGCCGGCUCCCUCGGCCAAUAAAGUGAGAUGAGCGCCGCAACCCCAGAGUCGGUCCCGUCUGGACCUAAUGGUCAGGGGUCCUUUUACCUUUACCUUAGGGGGAGAACAGGGAGAGAAAAUUAUGGUAUGUUGUGCAGUGAGAAACCCUUGCACUGAUGAAACAUUCACCUGAUUUAUUUCUUAAAAUAUUUAUAGACCACACUUUCAUAAAAUUGCAACAAAUUACAAUAAAAUAAAUAAAAACAUCAGUACUGGUUGGUGAAAAGAAAUGCUCAAUGAAAACGUCUGUCUGAAUAACUGUUUUUAGGGGAUGUCUAAAAGAAGGCAGAAUUUGAGAACAUAAAAACAGCCUGCUGGAUCAGGCUAGUGGCCCACCUGGAGCAGCAUCCUCUUCUCACAGUGGCCAAUGACAUGCCUGCGGGAAACCUGCAAGCAAGAUUUGAGCACAAGAGCGCUCUCCCCUCCUGUGGUUCCCAUAAACUGGUAUUCAGAAGCCUGGCUGCCUCGCAACAGUGGAUGCAGAGAGGGGAGAAAAACUCUUCUCUCUCCACGCCAUGCAUAAUUUUAUAAACAUCUAUCAUGUCGCCCCCUUGCAUUUUCAUUAAACCAAAAUGUCCCAAA
Molecule: long non-coding RNA, 2807 nt
Filed under: Podarcis lilfordi (Lilford's wall lizard)
Lineage: Eukaryota; Metazoa; Chordata; Lepidosauria; Squamata; Lacertidae
Source: RNAcentral